GUACCCAUGGUAUAGUGGUUAUCAUAUCCGCCUAACACGCGGAAUGUCCCAGGUUUGAAACCUGGUGGGUAGA
RNAcentral lists this transfer RNA (73 nucleotides) under Trichonephila clavata. RNAcentral describes it as "tRNA-Val". The record is from RNAcentral. Lineage: Eukaryota; Metazoa; Arthropoda; Arachnida; Araneae; Nephilidae.